This 771-nucleotide ribosomal RNA is filed under the name uncultured Neocallimastigales. RNAcentral's name for it is "partial large subunit ribosomal RNA". It matches the Rfam family "Eukaryotic large subunit ribosomal RNA", at positions 22 to 628 of the family's 3401-position model. Lineage: Eukaryota; Fungi; Neocallimastigomycota; Neocallimastigomycetes; Neocallimastigales. The record is from RNAcentral.
CUAUACAUGACUCUGCGCAUAUCAAUAAGCGGAGGAAAAGAAACUAACAAGGAUUCCCUCAGUAACGGCGAGUGAAGCGGGAAGAGCUCAAAUUUGAAAUCUUGAAAGGUCACCUUUCACGAAUUGUAGUUUAAAGAAGUGUUUUCUGUUACGAUCGUAAUAUAAGUUCUUUGGAAUAGGACAUCACAGAGGGUGAGAAUCCCGUCUAUGAUUGCGAUUUGUAGCUUUGUGAUACACUUUCAAAGAGUCGGGUUGUUUGGGAAUGCAGCCCAAAACGGGAGGUAAAUUUCUUCUAAGGCUAAAUAUUGGCGAGAGACCGAUAGCGAACAAGUACCGUGAGGGAAAGAUGAAAAGAACUUUGAAAAGAGAGUUAAAUAGUACGUGAAAUUGUCAAAAGGGAAGCGUUUAACACCAGUGUUGUUUUCUGAAAAUCAACCUCUGUUAGCUUUAUGCAUGUUUGUUUAGACCUAAUCAGCUAUCUUGCAUGUUCUAUUGUUUGCAGUGGUGCACUUUUCAGUUUACAGGUCAACAUCAGUUUUUUUUACCGUAAAAAAGUUAAAGAAAGGUAGCUCAUGGCUCCGGUCGUGAGUGUUAUAGUCUUUUUCCUAUGCGGUAGGAGAGACUGAGGUCUGCAGUGUAGGCUAUUUGGCUAGAUACUCAGGUGCUAUGUGAUACCAUUUCAUAAACAACUUGUUGAUUAUGUUUUGUCUAUUGCAUACUCGCUUGUACUAUCAUACCUACGCUUAGGAUGUUGAGUCGUAGAGCACGCAG